Molecule: long non-coding RNA, 598 nt
Organism: Ictalurus punctatus (channel catfish)
Lineage: Eukaryota; Metazoa; Chordata; Actinopteri; Siluriformes; Ictaluridae
Source: Ensembl
CACAUACACAGCACUGAACCCCAUGAAUACAUCCCCGGAUUAUGACACUCUGCAAAAUGUUAAUUGCUCUGCCAGUGACACUUACACAACCCUGAACCCUGCAACCGUGUCCUCUGAUUAUGACACACUGACAGGUGUGGCUACUCGACUCAGUGAGGAGAAGUUCUCCAGAACUGCAGAAUGAGAACUAACGGUUGACUUUGGUUAGUAACGGCUCAGGAAGGAUGCUCAGGGUGAGAGUUUUAGGAUUAGAGUUGAGGAUUAGAGUUAAACAGCAUCAAGACGUCACAACAAACUCAUUUCUGUCUUAAUUAAGUGUCAUUCGUUUAUGUUAUUCAAGCAGCUCCUUUAGUUUCUCAGUUGUCUUUUCACACUUUUAAUGUAUUACACACACACAUACACAUAUAGUGUGUGUAGCGUCCUGGGACCAUCCUUCACAUUUUCUACUAUAUCUAUCUCUCCAGCUUUUUCUCAUCAUCGCCUCUUCACUCGCUUGAUCUCUGUUCACGCUGACAUCAGUGGGGAAAUAAUCACUGAUUCAUUCCAUCAGCUCUGAUCUGUCGGUUAAAUUUCUUGUUACUGUCUUACAACUUUGUUC